AAAGAACACAGUGUUGGGGCCUAUAUCCUAGGCCCCCCGCCUCAUCGGCCCAGACAGAAUGGGGAGCUGGCAGCAGCUCCUAGCCCUCAGGCCAGGAGAAGUCACCCAACCUGUGCACAGCCCACUUGUUCCCAGGGGCCACGACUGCAAGACUGUGGCUCCUCCCCCCGACACGCCCUCGAGGCCAGGGAAAAUCCUGAUAACUUAAGAAGUUUCCCUAACCUGGGGACCCCCACUGCCCACUGCUGGAAAUAAGAACCUCAGUGUCUCUGAUACUUCGUGUGACCGAGGCAGACUUGUGGUUGUUGGCGGCGUCGGACAGCAUUUUCCAAACUGCUGAUAAAUCCCAACAGCUGAAGACCAACAAGAACCAAUCUAGAGUCCAAAGAAGUUAUUAUUAACUUGCUGCAACAAGGAAGAAUACCCCUACAGAAACCAUAAAGUACCUCACCAAAUAAAAGACAACAUAAGGAUAUAAGAUGAUUUUGAAGAAGGGUGGAGUUUAGGUAUUGCCAAAGCGUCAUCAGGGUUUAGUUCUUGCUGCUAUGCUGCCCCAGGGUGCUAAAAUGUGAAUGAUGCAUAAUAUCCCUAUGGAUGUGAUCAGUCUAAUCAAAGCGGCCCUGGAGCCUAGGUUUCGCUUCUUUGAGUUUAGCAAGUCCAGCUCUUACUGCCAAGCACAACUUCCUCAACACUGACCCCUCCUUCUGGGUGACUUAGGCUACCCUGUUGCUACAUACUGAUUUCUGUGAAGCCAUGGACUGCAUCUUAGCUGAUUCUCACCUAGUCAACUCUGCACCAGAAGAACAGGAGUAGCCAAAUCCAUUCAGCUGCUUAAAAAGGGAGGAAAUUUUAAUUAUUUUCAUUGAUCUGUGCCCUACUUUAUCUUCUUCAAUCAUAUUUUUACUCUUAAUCAGGAAUAUGUUUCCCUUUCCUAAUGAAUAUUCCAAUGAGCUCUGGAGAUCUGGUGUUCCAUAUACGGUGCAUUCCUGAGCUCCUGUCAUAUUAAAUUUGCAUACCCAUUCAUACCUAUGUAGCAUUACUUGCUUAACUGAGGAAGGAGUAGGUAAGGAGUGAGCAUAAUAUGCCACUGAUGUUUCACUGUUUGUAUUUUUUUUUCUAAUGAGGCUUGUAAACUAUUUUAUUCAUUUAGAAAAAAAGGAAGAAAAACUGGCCUAAGAAACUUAGUGUUGAAAAAAAGGAAAAGAGAGCACAUAGAGUACACAGCAACAGUGCAAAUCAAAAAGUGCGUACACAUUUUAUGAGAAAAACAAAAGAAUAGAAAGAACAGACUGGUGGUUACCAGAGGGAGGGGGAGGAGGGUGGGAAAAUGGGUGAAGGCUAUCAAAAGACACAAACUUCCAGUUAGAAGAUUAAUAAGUUCUAGGAAUAUAAUGUACAGCAUGGUGACUAAAGUUAAGAAUACUAUACUGUAUAUUCGAAAGUACCUAAGAGCAGAUUUUAAAAGUUCUCACCACACACAAAAAAAAUGUAUAACUAUGUGAGGAGAUGGAUACGUUAACUUAUUGUGGCAAUAAUUUUGCAAUAUAUACAUACAUAAAAUCACUAUGUAUAUACCUUAAACCUAUGUCAAUUAUAUCUCAAUAAAGCCGGAAAAAAUAAAAUUUUAAAAACCAUAUUUUGAAUACCGCCUAAGAGGGAGGAGGGCAUGAGAGUGAUAAAUGGGAUUGAAGAAUAAUUAAAAACAAAUAGAAUACACUGGUCCUCUGGCAGAUCAAUACUAGUGGUUCAGAAACUGGAAUGUGAUUAACUUAACCCUGGGCACUUGAGGUUAAAAAUAAAUACAGAAAUUUUAAAAAACUUGACCAAC
Molecule: long non-coding RNA, 1828 nt
Organism: Equus asinus (donkey)
Lineage: Eukaryota; Metazoa; Chordata; Mammalia; Perissodactyla; Equidae
Source: Ensembl